RNAcentral lists this ribosomal RNA (252 nucleotides) under Paenibacillus ottowii. RNAcentral describes it as "partial 23S ribosomal RNA". It matches the Rfam family "Bacterial large subunit ribosomal RNA", at positions 2159 to 2410 of the family's 2925-position model. Lineage: Bacteria; Bacillati; Bacillota; Bacilli; Caryophanales; Paenibacillaceae. The record is from RNAcentral.
GAACUUUGAGCGCCAGCUUGAAGGGAGGCAUCCUUGGGAUACCACCCUGAUCGUAUCUAGGUUCUAACUUGGUACCGUAAUCCGGUACGAGGACAGUGUCAGGUGGGCAGUUUGACUGGGGCGGGCGCCUCCUAAAGAGUAACGGAGGCGCCCCAAGGUUCCCUCAGAAUGGUUGGAAAUCAUUCGAAGAGUGCAAAGGCAGAAGGGAGCUUGACUGCGAGACCUACAAGUCGAGCAGGGACGAAAGUCGGG